ACCAGCAGCCAUAUCACCCUGGCGCUCUCAACUGCCUAAGCAGGGUUGAGCCUGGUCUGUACCUGGAUGAGAGACCUCCUGAGAAGCCAUGGUUGCUGCUGGAA
Molecule: ribosomal RNA, 104 nt
Filed under: Lepisosteus oculatus (spotted gar)
Lineage: Eukaryota; Metazoa; Chordata; Actinopteri; Semionotiformes; Lepisosteidae
Source: RNAcentral